CAAAGCUUAUCUAAGAAAAUUGAAACAUUAAAGUGGUAGGCAUAUCCUAUACAUAUUUAUAAUUUUAAAUAACAACUUUGUCCUUAAAUUUUAGUGAUUUUUGUAUUUCUCAUAGGAUUUCUGACUCCCUUUUCCCCCUUCCUAAAAGUCUUUCUCUUUUCGAUUGUUGUGAAGAAUGAAAGAAGACAGAAAGACUGAUGUUUCUAAGCAUUUCACUCACAAUUGUGUUUUUCUUCUAUGAGAUGGCAGAUAGGUACUUGAGACCUGUUGGCAAUGAUGGCCUGAGCUAAACACCUCCUAAUUUGAAGGAACACCCUUCAGUCUCAAAGGACAGAAUGCUGAGAAAGCUAUGGCAGGUAUGUGUGUGUUGUUCUGCUAAGGUAAAACUCAGAUACUGAAUGUGCUCACUUUAGAUCUCCUGAUACUAUAUUUAGCUACAGUUUUAAAACCUUUUGUUUGAAAAGCAGCGGAUAUAUUCCUAACACUUUUUAAAGAAAUGUACUUUCAAACUCUAAAAAUAUAGGAGUAUUGGCUGCUUUAAUGUUAAAGGAAACACCAUCACACUUCAUAGUAAAUCUAUGAGGUAUAUUUAUAAUUGAUUUUUCAAUGGAUACUUGCUGAAAUCCUUUAUGUGUCA
RNAcentral lists this long non-coding RNA (637 nucleotides) under Rhinolophus ferrumequinum (greater horseshoe bat). Its description in RNAcentral is "lncRNA (ENSRFEG00010013112.1)". Lineage: Eukaryota; Metazoa; Chordata; Mammalia; Chiroptera; Rhinolophidae. The record is from RNAcentral.